ACGGUGCCGCAUCUUCUUCCUCUGCCUUCGCUCUCCACCUCCACUACAACUGAUUUUCUACCCGUCAAAACAAACCCACCGUCCCCACCGACGCCGCCGGCAACGAAGAUGAAGUGCUUCUCGGAGUCGAAAAACAUGCCGACAAGGGAGGGGGAGAAACAUAGUUACAUUCGAUGAGGGCGAGAAAAAUAAUUACACUUCAGUGAGGGCGGUAGCUACGAUAAAGGGCAAGGAAUAGGUCGUGAUCCAAAAAAAAUUAUAAAAAGAAAAAAAAAAUAAGAAUAAUAAAAAAUAAAAAUUUAAAAAAAAAUUCUACAAGAAAGAAUAAAAAUAAUAGAAGAAGAAAGAAAAAGAUAAAAUUACACAGUUAAAAUAAAAUUACGCUGUUUUAAAAAAUUUUUAUACUAUUUUAAAUAAAAAUUGCACUCUUUGAACAGAAAUUACACUCUUUAGAAUAAAAANCAGAGGCGGAGGCGGAAAGGGCCUACCUCGCCUCUCACCCUCAUGCCCUCGCCCUCGCUCAUGCACCCCCCGCCUUCCCCGCCUCCGACCCCGCCGAAGGCUACGUUGUGAUCCUCUUUUUUCCCUCUCCAACCCUCCUCCACCGCCUCCGUGGCUCUCCGUGACCCUCCGCAACGAUAGCAAGGACGGUGCCGCAUCUUCUUCCUCUGCCUUCGCUCUCCACCUCCACUACAACUGAUUUUCUACCCGUCAAAACAAACCCACCGUCCCCACCGACGCCGCCGGCAACGAAGAUGAAGUGCUUCUCGGAGUCGAAAAACAUGCCGACAAGGGAGGGGGAGAAACAUAGUUACAUUCGAUGAGGGCGAGAAAAAUAAUUACACUUCAGUGAGGGCGGUAGCUACGAUAAAGGGCAAGGAAUAGGUCGUGAUCCAAAAAAAAUUAUAAAAAGAAAAAAAAAAUAAGAAUAAUAAAAAAUAAAAAUUUAAAAAAAAAUUCUACAAGAAAGAAUAAAAAUAAUAGAAGAAGAAAGAAAAAGAUAAAAUUACACAGUUAAAAUAAAAUUACGCUGUUUUAAAAAAUUUUUAUACUAUUUUAAAUAAAAAUUGCACUCUUUGAACAGAAAUUACACUCUUUAGAAUAAAAAUUACGCUCUUUAGACGAAAAUUACACUAUUUGAAUAAAAUUUACACAAUUCCUCUUUCUCUUCUUCCUCCUUCUCUUUCCCCUCCGCUUUCCCUGCAGC
Molecule: long non-coding RNA, 1207 nt
Filed under: Ananas comosus (pineapple)
Lineage: Eukaryota; Viridiplantae; Streptophyta; Magnoliopsida; Poales; Bromeliaceae
Description: long non-coding RNA (ACOM_LNC005329)
Source: RNAcentral